Molecule: ribosomal RNA, 728 nt
Filed under: uncultured bacterium
Lineage: Bacteria
Description: bacterial SSU rRNA
Rfam family: Bacterial small subunit ribosomal RNA
Source: RNAcentral
UUUGAUCAUGGCUCAGGACGAACGCUGGCGGCGUGCCUAACACAUGCAAGUCGAACGGGGCCAGGUGCAACUCUGGUUCAGUGGCGGACGGGUGCGUAACACGUGAGGAACAUGACCUUCGGCGGGGGAUAGCCGGCCCAACGGCCGGGUAAUACCGCGUACGACCUUUCGGGGACAUCCCCGGCUGGUGAAAGCAGCAAUGCGCCGAAGGAGUGCCUCGCGGCCUAUCAGCUAGUUGGUGAGGUAACGGCUCACCAAGGCGACGACGGGUAGCUGGUCUGAGAGGAUGGCCAGCCACAUUGGGACUGAGACACGGCCCAGACUCCUACGGGAGGCAGCAGUGGGGAAUAUUGCGCAAUGGGCGAAAGCCUGACGCAGCGACGCCGCGUGUGGGAUGACGGCCUUCGGGUUGUAAACCACUGUCGGGAGGGACGAAUGCGCCGCAAGGCGAGUGACGGUACCUCCAAAGGAAGCACCGGCUAACUCCGUGCCAGCAGCCGCGGUAAUACGGAGGGUGCAAGCGUUGUCCGGAAUCACUGGGCGUAAAGGGCGCGUAGGCGGCCUGGUAAGUAGGGGGUGAAAUCUUGCGGCUUAACCGCAAGGCUGCCUUCUAAACUGUCAGGCUAGAGCACAGUAGAGGCAGGUGGAAUUCCCGGUGUAGCGGUGGAAUGCGUAGAGAUCGGGAAGAACAUCAGUGGCGAAGGCGGCCUGCUGGGCUGUUGCUGACG